AGGACGAACGCUGGCGGCGUGCUUAACACAUGCAAGUCGAGCGGAAAGGCCCUUCGGGGUACUCGAGCGGCGAACGGGUGAGUAACACGUGGGCAACCUGCCCCUAGCUCUGGGAUAACUCCGGGAAACCGGUGCUAAUACCGGAUACGACCUCAUUAGGCAUCCUUUGAGGUGGAAAGAUUUAUUGGCUAGGGAUGGGCCCGCGGCCUAUCAGCUUGUUGGUGGGGUAAUGGCCUACCAAGGCGACGACGGGUAGCCGGCCUGAGAGGGCGACCGGCCACACUGGGACUGAGACACGGCCCAGACUCCUACGGGAGGCAGCAGUGGGGAAUAUUGCGCAAUGGGCGAAAGCCUGACGCAGCGACGCCGCGUGAGGGAUGACGGCCUUCGGGUUGUAAACCUCUUUCAGCAGGGACGAAGCGAAAGUGACGGUACCUGCAGAAGAAGCGCCGGCCAACUACGUGCCAGCAGCCGC
Molecule: ribosomal RNA, 475 nt
Filed under: uncultured bacterium
Lineage: Bacteria
Description: SSU rRNA
Rfam family: Bacterial small subunit ribosomal RNA
Source: RNAcentral